GCUCUUUAUGCAGCGAAAGUGUGAUUAUAUAACUCGAAUGCAUCGAUGCGUUCAAAAGGGAGGAACGAGUGUGUACUCUGACUCGUGUCCGUCGUCGUGUGGGAAUAAAACAACGCGAAAUGUCAGUGAGCGAGCUGGGUUUUAUUUGUGUUCAUUGUGCCACCCACUGUAUAAUACAGUGCCAUUGCGUCACUGAAUAUUGUCCACAGUCGACCGACUUUACUUCCUCUUUGUCGCGAUUUGCGGAAAGUGACUGAACCUGUUUUCACUGUUCGGGGAAAUGAAACGACGAGAAAGGACUCCUUCGGAACAACAUGGUCGACGUGGAAAUGGCGGCUGUCUUGCCGGCUCAAAACGGCUUCCUCAGCGUGUUGUGUUCAAUACUUCGAAAAUUCCGCCUCGUGUAUCACAAUGAAAUCUCUUUACCGUACUUCGUCUAUGGAAGGACAUUUGAGUCGGAGAUUCCGUUUCUGAACGGCAUCAUUGCCGGGUGCUCAGUGAAUCUGCACCCUGAGCCUGUGCAGCAAACGAGCUCAUCUGAUCUUCCACUCAUUGUGUUUUGUGUGAACUCAACACGCGUGGGAACUGAUGUUGCAGCUGCACUCAGAAAUUGUGAAUUAAUGUAUGGAAAUCGAAUGGUCAUCAUGGUGGUAAUGAAUCACUUUCCACGUCAAGCAGCAUACAAAAACCCUCACAGCCAUGUACAUGUUCAACAAAACAACGUCCGGGCCACGUACGACUGUUUCUUCUCUGAAAACGAAGGAUUGCAUUCUUGUAACGAGAACAGGGAGGCGAUAAACGGAGUAGCGAAGUUGAUUUCAAUGAAUUUGCGACCAAAUUACCAGCUGAACAAGCUGGUAUUUGCAAGCUACAUUGGAUUUAGUGUUGCAUUGUACUUGUUCCGUAGGAUUUUUGUCCCAGUGUCAGGUAGACAACGAUGAGACAAAAGGGCAAACAAGAAAGAUUACCUAGUUCCAUUUCUCUUUUGUUUCAUGGCUCAUUAUGCUGGGAAGCCAAGUUCAAAUCUCAUUGACUCUGUACUCACCCAGUCUCCUCAUGUCCUUGUAAUUUAUGUUGAUGUACACUGGUCGAUAUGAAUGUCUUUGUCGCAAUGCUUACGAUUUAUAUACAAGCUUCUCCAUGAACCGUAGAUCAGUCUAUACUAAUAAACGUGUGUGUGUGUGUGUCAGUGUGUCUCCUCCAUUAUUCCAAAACCAUAAAACCUUGCAGCCUGAAACUUUGAAUGCAAACUAAGAAAACUCCACUCAAGUGAAAAUUGGGUGUUUGGGUUAAUUAAAACACUCAUUUUGAAGAUAAUCAACAGCCUAUUUAAUUAAAUCCUUCAUCACGUGAUCAUCGGCCACCUCGCUCUCUGCGGUCUUAAGGCGUUUCCUCGGUAACCUCUGUGGGGUCUGAAGCCGCCAUGUUUUUUUGGCCUGCUCAACAAUGCCUUGACUUGGAACAGGCUGCAACGAUUUCUUAACGAUAAAGGUUUUUUUUUCUUUCACUUUCCUCACUCAUUAUCGAAUGUCUGUUACUUCUCCAUUGAUAAAUACAAAUAAAAAUAAAACGUUUCGCUUUUUAAAGUUUCUUCAAACGUUUCGUGCUUUGUGUGGUAAAUGAUUUUACUCACUCAUAUUAUCACUUGGUGCAUUCUUCAACUUUCAGUUGCAAUACCAUGGCAUGGUUCUACAGAUGAUCACAAUGAUAAAAAUAAACUUUUCACUUCUGAAGUAAAGAAUUGCCACAUCACGGCAGGAAAGCCGAGAGGUACACAUGCUCAGUCUUUGUAGCCUGGAUUUGAAUCCCAACCCAGCUUUGAACUGUCCUCCCGGUGUUUUCCAGGCCGGGUGAUUCAUCACUGUGUGUGUCGUCUCUUGGAUGGACGAUAAACUGGGCCUCCUAUCUGCCAGAAUACCACACCCCUCUCCCUCCCAACCUAUCCGCCUCCCAACCUAUCCAGUCGCAAUACACCAACCACCUCUCUCCCAUCCCUAUCCCUCUUUCUGAUCCAGACCCCUCUCUCUCUCUCUCUCUGAUCCCUCCCCUCUCCCCCCUCUCUCUCCACUCCUCUCCCUCUCUCUCCACUCCUCUCCCUCUCUCUCAACCCUCCCCCUGUUGAAGGGACUGCAGUAUGUACGAAUCAGAUUCGGAGCCGAGCAGUGAGGGGCAAUGGUCACUGCACGUAUAUGCUGUUGGUUUUGAAUGCUCCCACUCCAGGUCUGUGUGUGUGUGUGUGUGUGUGUGUGUGUGUGUGUGUGUGUGUGUGUGUGUGUGUGUGUGUGUGUGUGUGUGUGUGUGUGUGUGUGUGUGUGUGUGUGAUUGGUAUCUUCAUGUGCGAGUUUCAGGAUGUGGAAUGCAGUCCUCCCAUGGUGGGCUCAAAGCAUCCAUCUUCAUUUCAGUAAGGGGUCACGAUUCAUGGACGAAGCGGUGGUUUUCUGUUCUCAAAGUUUUGUGCUGAGGGCUCUUCAGGAUCGUCGCUGAGCCCCGGACAUCUUCCAACUGUAGUUCGUUUGUAAUAAUGUUCCCAGGAAUGGUGGUUUUUCGCACACCUGUAAAGUAGUCUGUGGAGCUUAUGGGAUGGCACGUCGUCAGUCCGUCCGUCCGUCCACAAAUACUUGCAACUUCUCAGAAACUACACACGAUUUCUCAGAAAUUUGAUCACAAACUUCAUCACCCAUGAUGGCAUUAAAAAACUAUAAGGGCACUGGGUGGAGCACAUACCUCCGCCACACAAUGCCUGAUCUACGAGAACAUAUGUAUCUGGCCCAAUACAUUUUUGAAAUAUCGUGCUACCUCUCAAUGGUGAAGAAUCACUUACAAAAUUAUCAGAUCCGGAUGCGGAUCUUCACCAAAAUCGAAUCAGUUCAUCCUUGUCACACACCGAAGAUGUCCACCAAAUUUCAUCCGGAUCCGUCCACAACUUUUUGAGAUAUGCUGUACACAAAUAGACAGGGGUGAAAACAUAACCUCCUUCAACUUCGGUGGCAGAGGUAAUAAGGGGUCUACGGAGGGAGAUUACUGGGGGGUUGCCCCAAAAUAUGCAUUUGCUUUCUUCUCAGAAACUACACACACAAUUCCGAUGAAAGUUGAUCACCAUCUUCACCACCCGUGAUGUACUAAAGUUUGUUCAUGACAUUAACAAUAAAAAUCCAGUGGCAUUUACUUUCUUCUCCAUUAUGUAUUUUGUGGGUUAUCCAUACUUACCAGUGGUUGCCUGGUUGUCUUACCCAGUCGCUACCAGGUAAGUGGCCAAGGGUACUGCCCUUUUGUUUAAUAUCUCUGUGAGGUUCUUUCUCAUCAUUCCAGUAGCUCCAGCUAUCACUGGUACAACUUUGGCAUUCUUCAGCUUCCAGGAUCUUCUCACUUCAUUCUUGAGGUCUUGAUGUUUGGUCAUUUUCUUGAUUUCUGCAUUGUUUUGACCAAAAUCACUGGUAUCAACACCCUCAAUCAGCAACACCUUCUCUUUUUUAUCCCGAAGUAUGAUAUCUGGUCACAACGCUUUGUUUUCGAUGUUCACGCUCUAUGGCAUCAUUCGUUCGUAUGUGAGCGGUAGGUACUUCCAUGUUUCAGUGAUUGCUUUUGGUUCAUGUUCCCACAAAUAGGGGGGGGGGG
Eptatretus burgeri (inshore hagfish) is the source of this 3615-nucleotide long non-coding RNA. Lineage: Eukaryota; Metazoa; Chordata; Myxini; Myxiniformes; Myxinidae. The record is from Ensembl.